Molecule: microRNA precursor, 64 nt
Filed under: Salmo salar (Atlantic salmon)
Lineage: Eukaryota; Metazoa; Chordata; Actinopteri; Salmoniformes; Salmonidae
Description: microRNA ssa-mir-30d precursor (ssa-mir-30d-2)
Gene: ssa-mir-30d-2
Rfam family: mir-30 microRNA precursor family
About the family: This family consists of the mammalian microRNA (miRNA) precursor mir-30a. Animal miRNAs are transcribed as ~70nt precursors and subsequently processed by the Dicer enzyme to give a ~22nt product.
Source: miRBase by way of RNAcentral
UGUAAACAUCCUUGACUGAAAGCUGGUGUUUCAUAUAGGGCUUUUCAGUCGGAUGUUUGCAGCU